RNAcentral lists this ribosomal RNA (253 nucleotides) under uncultured bacterium. Its description in RNAcentral is "partial 16S ribosomal RNA". It matches the Rfam family "Bacterial small subunit ribosomal RNA", at positions 524 to 776 of the family's 1533-position model. The record is from RNAcentral.
UACGUAGGUGGCAAGCGUUGUCCGGAUUUACUGGGUGUAAAGGGCGUGUAGCCGGGUUGACAAGUCAGAUGUGAAAUCCUGCGGCUUAACCGCAGAACUGCAUUUGAAACUGUUGAUCUUGAGUACUGGAGAGGCUGACGGAAUUCCUAGUGUAGCGGUGAAAUGCGUAGAUAUUAGGAGGAACACCAGUGGCGAAGGCGGUCUGCUGGACAGCAACUGACGGUGAGGCGCGGAAGCGUGGGGAGCAAACAGG